UAAAGAAUUUCGGUCAUCGAUGGGGAUGCGUUCCAUUAGCUUGUGGGCGGGGUAACGGCCCACCAAGGCAUCGAUGGAUAGGGGUUCUGAGAGGAAGGUCCCCCACAUUGGAACUGAGACACGGUCCAAACUCCUACGGGAGGCAGCAGUGAGGAAUAUUGGUCAAUGGGCGCUAGCCUGAACCAGCCAAGUAGCGUGAAGGAUGACUGCCCUAUGGGUUGUAAACUUCUUUUAUAUGGGAAUAAAGUGCAGUAUGUAUACUGCUUUGCAUGUACCUUAUGAAUAAGGAUCGGCUAACUCCGUGCCAGCAGCCGCGGUAAUACGGAGGAUCCGAGCGUUAUCCGGAUUUAUUGGGUUUAAAGGGAGCGUAGGCGGGUUGUUAAGUCAGUUGUGAAAGUUUGCGGCUCAACCGUAAAAUUGCAGUUGAUACUGGCAUCCUUGAGUACAGUAGAGGUAGGCGGAAUUCGUGGUGUAGCGGUGAAAUGCUUAGAUAUCACGAAGAACUCCGAUUGCGAAGGCAGCCUGCUGGACUGUAACUGACGCUGAUGCUCGAAAGUGUGGGUAUCAAACAGGAUUAGAUACCCUGGUAGUCCACACAGUAAACGAUGAAUACUCGCUGUUUGCGAUAUACAGUAA
Molecule: ribosomal RNA, 636 nt
Filed under: uncultured bacterium
Lineage: Bacteria
Description: bacterial SSU rRNA
Rfam family: Bacterial small subunit ribosomal RNA
Source: RNAcentral